UAAAGGGAUAGCUAAGAGAAGUUCAUUUCAGAUUUUUGGGUAGCUAAAAACCCAAAAAAUAACAAAUUAGCUGAAAAUAUCCAAAAACACUGUUCCAUUAAAAUUUUCUGAAACUCUUGAAGAUUUUUGAUUUCUGAAACAAUCCUUAGAUAAUCGAAGGUUUGAAAUGGCUUAAACUGGUUGGUUUCAGGUGUUUGGGUUCGAGUUUUUGGUUGCAUUUGAUUACUGGACAUUAUUGGAUCCUUCUGCUGGUUGGAGUUUGGUUCAAAACUGAUUUUCCUUCAGUUAUUUCUAGGUUGUGUUGUUCAGCUGCUAACCUUUUGCUGUUUAUUUCAUUUCCAGGAUGAGCACAAUCCCAAAAUGAACCUUCCUCAAUCAUAAGUAAAAUCCCUUUGGAGUUGCGGCUGCGGUGGAAUGAUUUAGGUGGAGAAGGGCAAGACGAGGUCAAGAAAUACUUGGGGGCCUUCCUGGACUGUUGGAGAUUAUAUCCAGGGGAGACAUCAUAAGGGCCUUAGUCACAUGCUAGGACCCGGCUCACAAUGUAUUCCACUUCUCAGAUUUUGAACUUAACCCAACAUUAGAAGAGAUAUCUGGAUACAUCGGGGGUCCCAAGGUUCCUCUGAGGCACCAAUACCUGAUUGCUCCAAGGAUUGUAGCCGUACACAGGUUCCUGGAUUCUUUGAAAAUAAGCAGGGUGGUACACAACUCGGACCUGGCAGCUGGCUUUUGUAAGCUGCCAUUUAAAUACAAAAGAUAUGUUCAUAUAGGAGGGUUCAACAAACCGGAGAACAAAAUUUGUAGCAAGGGAAACCGCCUUAAAUGGGAGGAACAUAGGCAUGUUGCGUUCAUGGUGGCCUUUCUAGGACUUCUGGUGUUUCCUAGAAAAGACAAAAAUAUUGACAUCUGAGUAUGUGGGGUUGUUAGUACUUUGCUUACUCAGGCCAACAACACCCUCGCACCCAUGAUAGUAGCUGAGAUUUUCCGCGUUCUUACUGUUUGCAAAGCCGGAUGGGACUUUUUUUAGGGUUGUAAUGUGCUGCUGCAGAUGUGGAUGAUCGAGCACUUAUGAAAUCAUCCCCGAUUUAUGAGUUAUGGGUCAUCAGAGAAGACAUGCAUAGAGGCUACGAAGGUUAAGAGGAUUAGCUUACCAGAGGGGGUCGCAGAAUGGGUAACACGCCUCCGUUCCGUCACUGCAUGACAGAUAGAGUGGACAUUUGGGUAGUUAUCUGUGGAUGAAGUCAUAUAUAUACCAGUCACCGGACCUCAUUUUCUACUGAUGGGACUUAGGAGUAUUCAUCCUUAUACCCCGUAUCGAGUUCUGAGGCAGUUAGGAAGAUGCCAAAUAGUCCCGAAGGAUGAGGAUCUUAGUGGCCAAGUAGUUCAGAUCGGGUCUGAUGGUCAAUUUCAUGAAGCAGUAGUUCGCAAAAUUUGGAAUGAAUGUCAGUACUUAACAGCAGAUACUUGUGUACGAGAUCGGUCCAGGGGUGAAGUGUUGCCAGGAUACCUUGCUUGGUACAGGAGAUAAAUUGAGUUCGAGAGACCUACCAAGAGGCCCCAUGUCCAGGAAUUCAUCGAGGCGUCGCAGGAACAAUGGGACUGGUUGGCUAAAGAACACACGUACAGGGCUGCAAUAGGCAAACUGGAGAAGCAGGUCAUGGAUUUGCAAUUUCAGAAAGAUUUGUAGGCCGCCGCGGAUGAAGGCGAAAAGAAGAAACUAGCUGAAGAAAAUGAGGCUCUUCGAGCCCAAAUUUAGAAAAUGAAAAUAGCGGCAGAAAACCCUGUCCGAAGUGCCAAAGAUGCAAAACUGAUAAAUAAUUUGAGGCAGAAAGUGAAUGACUAUAGUUUUGAUCUGAACAAAGCAGAAAGAGAACUAGCCUGGGUUCGAAAAUAAUUGGCUAAAAAUGAGGCAGAACGAGUCCGUCUGGUUAAGUAGUUGAAAUAAGAAUACGACAAUGAGGUCGUAGGGCUAAAGAAAAAGGUCAUCGCCGCAGAAAAUAAGAAAAUCAGACAGGCAAAAGACUUCAAGGUUGAAAGGGAACAGUGUUAUGCAGCAAUGGCACAACUAGAAAACGAUUUGCAACAGCUCCGAGAGCAUAAUCAGGUAGCCGAACAAACUUUGGGAGCCAGAACUGAGCAGAUUGGGCGGUUAUUACAAGAGAAAGGUGUCAUAAGAGAGAGAAUCAGGACAAUCGCCCAUUACAUCGCCACGAAGUGCAGCAGCUGUGAGGAUAUAACCAAGUCUAUGUUUUUCGCCACCACGAUGCUUUUCUUCGUCGGGUAAUGGAAGACCUCCACCACCUCCAAGGGGAUUUAGAUAGCCGACCUGCGACAAGGCCGAAUGAUGCCCCGCGUGUCCCAGGAGUAAUUGAAGUGCUAAUGUAUUCGUGAUUUUUGAGUCUGUAUUUCCUUUCCAUUAAAGUCUGCCAGUUUGUCUCGGAGUCUGUAUUUUCUUAUUAUGUGAUUUAGUAGUUUUUCGAGUCAGUAUUCCGUCUUUAAUCAAAGUUUCUUGUUUAAGUCUGUUAGUUUUCGAGUCUUUGUAAUCAAUUUUGUUUUAUGAAAAAUUGAAAUUCCAAUUUUUUUUAUUAUUUUACA
Molecule: non-coding RNA, 2592 nt
Organism: Nicotiana tabacum (common tobacco)
Lineage: Eukaryota; Viridiplantae; Streptophyta; Magnoliopsida; Solanales; Solanaceae
Source: RefSeq, a predicted model, not a curated record